Non-coding RNA from Arachis ipaensis, 732 nucleotides. The record is from RefSeq and is a predicted model, not a curated record. NCBI's taxonomy places the organism in Eukaryota, Viridiplantae, Streptophyta, Magnoliopsida, Fabales, Fabaceae.
UUAUGCUUACUUUUGAAUAUGCUGCCUGAUCAGGGAAAAAAGGUAAAGUUACUCAGCUCAUAUGUGUGUCUUUCACUAAUCUAUUAUGUUUCACUCAGUAAAUCACUAUUGAUGUCUUUGUUAUUUAUGGUUAUCUUUCAGCAGUUUGUUGAACUAUAAUUCCCAAAUUCACAUAUUUUUUGUUUAUUAGGCAGUCGAUGCCAAGCAAAAUGAAGCCAUCACAGCUGCAUCUAAUGAGUUGGCCAAAAGAAAAAGCGAUCUUGAAGAAAAUUUAAAACUUUCACGUGAUUUAAAAGUCUAGGCGCAGCAUGGAAUGUUGCUAAUGUGACAAAAGGAUCAACUGGAGUGAUAUUUGGUCUCGGAACUGUUGGCCUUUCUGUUGCACAAGGUGCAAAACUAAGGGGAGCAUCUCGAAUAAUUGGCGUGGAUAAGAAUCCACAUAAGUGUGAAAAAGCAAAAGCUUUUGGAUUUACAGAAGUUGUUGACCCGAGUUCCAACCACGAACCUAUUGCUCAAACAGGGGUAUUGCCUCCGUUUGUACCUUUUGUGCAAGUAUUUGCAGCUGUACUCACAUCUGUUCUUACUGGUUCUCUCUAUUAUGUGGCUGCCUCGCCCAAAUGUCCUCUUCUUAUUGCCCUUCAACAUGUUUUCCCUUUGUAUUGACUUAUUUUGUUUUUAUGCUUGCUUAACGAUCUCUUGCUUAUUUGUUUACUUCUUUCAGAUCCCAAUUAU